CUGACAUCUACCGAAGAGUUAGCUUUGCUUAAGACUGCAUGAUUUGUAUUCAUUUCGAUUGAUUUGCUAUAUAUUUGAUAAAUAUAAACUGAUAUUUAUUAUCGGAAAGAGCACAAAAACUUAGGGGAAAUCUUGUGCUCAAUGGGAAUUGAGUCAGGCGAUUGGGAUAGCCAUUCAAGGACCUCAGACCCCUCGAUGGACAACCAGAAUUUCGUUACUUUUGUCGUGUGCUUCGAAACACGAUAUUAUUCUAUUCUAUUUAUUUCCUUUUCCUAUAUUCGACAUAAUUUCCAUGUUUUUAAUCCUCCUCAUAACUGCAAAGGAACGAGAAAUCAAAGUAAGUAUCUACUAAUUAAUACAAUUCACUAUUUAGAAAGUUCGAUAGGGAAACUUCGAAAUAUGCAUAAGUAAGAACUGUUGCUUGCAAUCAUUAGACAUAGCAACGGCAAUGUGCGCAUUCUAAAUUUAUCUAAAAAGAAGAUAAAUGCGCAUUUCCUAGAAGCUAGAAGUAUGUAAACGAACUGGCGAGUCAGUCACUGUACGUAGAGAGAACUGUGUUUCUCUUGAUUCUGAGCCCUGUUACGAGGGCCACUUCAUCCGCCGAGAGCCCUCGUGUUCGUGCAACGAAUCACAUUGCCGGAGACGGAAAGGAUUAAGGAUUCUAAUUGAUGACACACUUUGCCUCUCGACGGCUCGUUCGUAUGUGCCACGCGUUUCCUUUCUCCUAGGAAGCUCGCCAAUCGUUGAUCGUAUUACCAACAUUAUAUUGGGCGCUUUUGGUAUUAAAACGAAUCGAGCGAAACUGCAGAUUUAGGAAAAACAACAGUACGAUAAAAAGGUUCCAUUUUAAAUGUAUAAAAUGUACUCUUAGUGUUACGUCGGGCGACACUCUACUGGUCUAGACCAGGUCACACACCACGGCCACUCAAUAGUCUUAAGGACCCAUUGUAAAUCUCAGGAAUUUGCUAGCUAAGGUCCUUCAGACCGAACAAAUAUCGAUUUUCCUAAAUCGCUUUCUAAAUAUUAUUGUCUACUACGGCUUGACACGGGAAAAUUAGCUUUUCUCAUGCAUGAUACUUCACACUAGCAACUUUCUAUCGAGGGCGGCUAAGACCCUUUCUAGUUCACGAACCUUCGUUUAUCCCAUUAGAAGCACUGUAUACUGCCCUCAUUUUUCUGACCAAAAAUGUCAUGAACAAAUCCGAUAGUUCCGUGCACUAGACACACCCAUCGCUAGCUUUCCUCCGACAUAGCAUCGGUAAAUUACUUAUUCUUCAACGUUAGAAUAAUCAACAUGUCAGUACCGGGUUAGUUUUUUCCCUUAUUGCUACGUCAACUAUAACAAAAACUCUAAGAGCCUUGCUCGAUUACCAAUGAAUAUUGUGCCAGUGUAUCGCAUCUCUAUACGCCAAAUCAUUGUCUACGACGUAUAUCAUAAGCAACGGUGUAACUUAAGUGUUAAAAAUAUAUAGUUUAUAACCCUGUUAA
Molecule: long non-coding RNA, 1488 nt
Organism: Bombus huntii
Lineage: Eukaryota; Metazoa; Arthropoda; Insecta; Hymenoptera; Apidae
Exons: 2
Source: RefSeq, a predicted model, not a curated record